Long non-coding RNA from Apis florea (little honeybee), 493 nucleotides. Lineage: Eukaryota; Metazoa; Arthropoda; Insecta; Hymenoptera; Apidae. The record is from RefSeq and is a predicted model, not a curated record.
CGCCUUAACCUAAGCAAAAGCGAAUGGCAGUGAAGCAGUCAGACGAGCUUUGAGCCCAGGCUAUGCCGGAGGCCGAAAUGAAAGAGAAGGUGAACGCAAAUACGGUGUAAAUCAUGCGUGGGCACGUACACGAAAUCAAUCGAAAACCAAUGACCGAAGAUCGUUCCCGAGGCCGGUAUCAAUAACCCCAAUCACCGGAUCGUUAAAGAUCGCGGUGUCGGUCGGCCCUUAACGAUGCAAUUAGGCCGCGAGAGGGCGCUCGAAUUAGGAUUGAUAAAUGUCAGGAACGCCUCCACACUGCUCGCGUCGUUUCUGCUCUUCGCAAUCAGAGGCGAACGAAUUUAUUCGAGUAUCGGCUACCAACGAAGGAUCUCGCGAGUGUAUUCGCAAGGUUAGGUUAGGUUAGAUUGGUCGUCUUGGAUUCGUACGCAUAUUCCGUGAAUUUGCAAGAAAAUUGCGGUUUCUUAUGUGGUAGCAAGAUGGUAUUUAUAAA